RNAcentral lists this long non-coding RNA (734 nucleotides) under Nicotiana tabacum (common tobacco). Its description in RNAcentral is "long non-coding RNA (NTAB_LNC017187)". The record is from RNAcentral. Lineage: Eukaryota; Viridiplantae; Streptophyta; Magnoliopsida; Solanales; Solanaceae.
UGCAUUUUUUACUGCCGAAAAUUCCAUGAAUUUACAAUAUACUCCUAAGUAUAACUAAGCAUCUAAAGAAGAAAAGAAAGGAAAAUUUUUAAAGUAAAGAGCAAAAUUCUUCCUAACUUCAAGCCUUUCCACUGCCACCAAAUCCUUCAAACCAGCUUCAACUUGCAAGAAAUCAGCUAUAGAGUUGUUUCUCACAAGUCAGCAUUUCAAACUCCAGCCCUGAGAUUGCUUGGCCUUAUUGCCACUCACAUACAAAACAACAAAGAUAAAGUGCAGGUUUCAGCAUUCAUUGAGAUCCAUUGACUAGUGUAUCUUUGACUUAAAUGAUAAAAUAAUCAGAAAGAGAGAAAGGAAACCACUUCAACAAUUGAAAAUCCAUGUUCAAAUAGUCAAAUCCACUACAUUCAUACCAAAAUAGCCAAGUAUCACAUAGAAGCUCAUUCAUUAUACAUAUUUUUUGCAAACUUACUGAUACUAUAUUACCUCAAAACAAACAGUACAUGAGAGGAGGUGGGAUUAAUACCUUGUAGCAACAAGAAACAAUCAGUAAAAUAGGGAUGAAAUACUAAUCAGAACUUUGAAGGAGCAGCCAACAAAGCCAAGCAGCAACAAUAAAAAUCAACCCAGAGAAAACCCAGAAUCAACACACAAAAUGUCUCCAAAAUCAUAAUACCAGCCUAGAAGUCUAACCCAGAAAAACUGAAAUUUUCAUAGAACUCUUAAGGAAAUUUUUC